CGGAGUGUAGCGCAGCCCGGUAGCGCACCUCGUUCGGGACGAGGGGGGCGAAGGUUCGAAUCCUUUCACUCCGA
RNAcentral lists this transfer RNA (74 nucleotides) under Snodgrassella alvi. RNAcentral's name for it is "tRNA-Pro". It matches the Rfam family "tRNA". From Rfam's summary of the family: Transfer RNA (tRNA) molecules are approximately 80 nucleotides in length. Their secondary structure includes four short double-helical elements and three loops (D, anti-codon, and T loops). The record is from RNAcentral. Lineage: Bacteria; Pseudomonadati; Pseudomonadota; Betaproteobacteria; Neisseriales; Neisseriaceae.